RNAcentral lists this long non-coding RNA (4761 nucleotides) under Nicotiana tabacum (common tobacco). RNAcentral's name for it is "long non-coding RNA (NTAB_LNC002436)". Lineage: Eukaryota; Viridiplantae; Streptophyta; Magnoliopsida; Solanales; Solanaceae. The record is from RNAcentral.
ACUGAUUGUGCUUAUUCCAUCGUAAGUAGUUUCGUGCUAGUUGCUUAUCCUUCUUACAUCAUAACAUUAUGACCCUUUCCUCUCAUUCAGUGCCUUUUUUUUUGCAUUCAACCGGUAAGUAUAAUAGCAGUAUAUUGUUAUGCAACAAAAGAGUAAUCAAUGAAAAUUCCAGCGCCAAAAUAUUUUCAGGUCCAAAUUUUGAAUGCACACUGAUACAAUUUAUUAUAAAUUUUUCCGCCGCCAUCUCUCCACAAAAUUUGAGCAGUGCGUCCACAAGUAUGGACAAAGAUUCAAACAGAUCAAAGCAAAGAUAUCAUUUCUCCAUGCAAACAAAGAGCUUGGAAAGAAACAGAAUCUGCAAUAAGCAAAACUGAUUAGAAGAGGGAUAUUAUUAGUGCAAAUAUAUGUAAUUCAUUUCAAUGACCUUAAAAUAAUUUCUUUUCCCUACUUUUGAAGGUCAAGGACUCUUUCCAGUAGGUAAGAGUUGUGUAAAGGCCAACUCUUUACAUUGGUUAGUAUUCGAAUUUGAAGCAUUGGAGAUCGAGUGAUAGAAACGAAAUUCAGCAAGAACAAAUGAAAUGGCAGCCAAAGUCAAUCUGACCAAUCCAUGCAUAAACAAGAAGUGUAUAACGUUCUUCACCAAACGAUGUCUUAAAUUCUCUCCUAUGAUACACCUAUUGGGUACUUGAUGGAAGACUGUAAGGAAUGGAGACAGAGAGGGUGUAAGAGAAUCGCCAAAAUAGCUCUACUGGCAGUUAUCCAUUUAUUAUAAAGAGUCCUGAUCUCUGUGUAACGGUCAUUAACCUUAUCUAGCACAUAAAUUGGAAUUACCUAAAACUGCAGAAGCCCAGUAGGCAAGAAAAUUACUUCAAAUGGAUGUACCUUCCUUCCUUGCUAAUAGCAAAAAGUAACAUCAUAUAUCUACCAGAGUUUCGUAGUUCCUUCGAAUUUAUUUGCUAAUAAAUAUAUUCUCAUUUUAUCCUUAUUUCUGUUCUUCUUGUUCUUUUGUUUUCUUUCCUCUUGCAGCUCCUCAAGAAUAUCACUUAUUAGCAGAUGUCGACUUACCUUCUUGGUCAUCUCAACAUGCAACUUAUCAAAAUCAGAGUUGCCUCUAACAGCCCUAGCUAGAGCGUCUGGGAUUUCCGAAUGACCAUACCGAGGAAUUCUACUGUACUCGGUGCAACUACAAUUAUUGAUCUUGCAUAGUCUAUCCAAAGGUUCAAGCCAGAUAUACUAACUCCAUGAACAACCAAAUUGAGCAAUAAAUCAGUAGAACGAGAAAGAAUUGCAGUAGCCAUGAUGACAGUACUAUACCAAUUUUCAGAUCUCAAGAAUAUUCUCUCACCAUAAAAAACUAGUAGUAGUAGUAGUAAAAAACAGCUAAUUCUCACACUCUCCUCGUCCUUCCUCCCUACUGCGCUUUGAGAACUCUCUCGGACAAUAAGAAAAAGCUUUGCUUUCGGCACCUCCUAUUCAUCACUAUCACCAUCAACACUUUUCUCUACCUCCCACCACAUACGAUCUCGCGCACUUUAAUCACAAAGGCUUUUAUAAAAACAAAUACAAAAUAUUUUGAUUUUAAUUUCUAAAUAAAUAUUCCCCAGUUUGCUAGAAAAACAAUGAAGUUCAAUCAUUAAAAAGACAUGAAAGAGUGACAUAUUUCCAUUCUAUUAGACGUAGUGAAGAUCCAAUAAAUUAGAAAUUGAAAAUAUUAGUCGAUUCCAAAUUUCAACUAUUAAUUUUCUCGAGUCAAUUAUUCUUAGCAUGUCAGUCCUAACCGUUGUUUUGCAAGAAAAAUAAAACACAAAAAACAUGGUUACUUCAAACCCUUCAAUAAAAUUUACUUUUUCUGAUAAAGUUCCUUCACAGAAAAUUAUGACAAAAAUUUAUUUAAAAGCUUCAUGUCUCAACGAAAGCAUAUAAAUCAGAAAAUUGAUCACCUUCGUAUAACUAAUCACCAUCCUUCUAGCUAAAAACCAGCUUCUAAAUUCACCUGGAAAAUUAGUUUUAUGAUUACUUCCGAAACUAAUUCAACAUCUUUCUGAAAAAAUGAAAUUAAUGCCACAAAUGAUUUUGCUAACCGAAUGGGUAAUUUUAGUAACACAAAUGAUAUUUUUUGAGAAGAUCACGAAUUAUUUUAUUCUACAAUGUGGACAUAAUAAUAUGUAUGGACACCAAUUCCCCCCCCCCCCCCCCCCCAAACCCCAACGCCCAAACUUCAUAUGUGAAAUUCACAUAAGCACAUGGGAGGAUGUAGCGUUGUGAAGGAAGAUUAACACCCAAGUAAUUGUGUCAAAGAACAUAAUGGCAAAAAGAAUGGACACACACACCUCAUACCAAAGGUCUCAUCCAGGUAAACAUCAAAAGUUAUGCAGUUAUAUAAUUUCAGCUAAUUAUGACACCAAAUGCUGAAUUUGUUGAUAUGCAGUGUAACAGCAACUAUACCUCAAUCCGAAGUUACUUGUGGUCUGAUUCUGCAAUUUAUCAAGUAAAAAGAUGCUACAACUUUUCACGUCAAAGUUGAAAUAGAAGGUUACCUGCUGAGAAAAAAUACAAAAAAUGUGGAGAUAACAUGUACUCCGAGUGAGAAAGUUUCGAACUUUUAACUAACCUGAGCUCUCAUUAUGGCAAAGUUUUAAUCGUUUAUCAUUUAGUCGAAUAUAUGCAGUGGAGACUUCACUUUCCUUUUUCCUUAAAUGUUGAAGCAGUAGCCCACUUGAAGUAACUACAGUUUGAUUCAGAAUUUGAUGUAGGUCCCUGGAAGAGAAUAUAGAUUUUAAAGAGAAUUUAGCAAGAUAGAAGGAUUAAAAUACAACUUCCUAUUAGAUACAAAUUCUACCAUUUUGGGGGCUGCUACAUGAAAAGACUUGAUGAGACAACCACUCAUUCAUAUUGCGGAAAACAUAAUGAGUGCAAGCCAUAGAAAAUAUAGUUUUUAAAUAAAAAGAUGAUAUCCAGUUAAACAAAUUGGAAAAAAAAUGCAAGUCUCGGAAUCAGCUCAAGAGUAUUUUCCUAUGAAACAGAACGAAACACCAAAAUUAUUAUACUGAGAAAAGCCCUCAUCCUUUUCAUUUUGAUAAGUAAAGAAGUAACUUUAGUCAACAGUACCGAGAAAGUGCAAAAAUAAUUCUUUUCUUUACAAUGAUGAGAGAGCAAGAAAUUACACUGAAACUCCUGUAGCUAAGUAAAGAAGUCCUUAUACAAGUAUCCAGAUUAUGUCCGUUAUAUAAUUUAUCUAUUAACCCAAAUAUUGUGAAUAUCCCUCGUCAGGCACAAGCGCUAUCUUUUGCAUUAAUAGUAAAUAUUGACUGGGAGAAGGGGAUUGAUCUUGUAGUCAAAGCAACAACGCACGGACAAGCUAAAUGAACUCUCUUAAUUAUAAUGCAGCGUAUGCCAAUGCUAUUUUCAAUUGGAAUCCAGGAAACAAUUGUACACAUAUUUUGUCUUUUUUAUUUCAGAAUACAGAUAUUUCACUCGGCGCGCUAGUAAGAAAUUAGAUAUAGUAAAUUAAAUCUCUAAACUAAUCUCAACAAACAUCCCAACAUAUUAUGUAGUCAUUAAACAACUUAGAACUCAAGAAACAGGAAGCAAUGUAGUUUUAUGAUAAUUUUGCAUUCAAGUCACAACUUUAAAAAACACCAACUAACAAAACAAGUAUGAUGACUAUGUCGUACCAAUAUAACUAAAGACUUACCAUACUUACCAAUAGAAAAGAAGGAUAAAACCCCUAUAGGUAGGACGACAAAGAGGUCAUAGAGAAGUGAACGGAUCCUUAUAGUAAUAUUAAGGUGAAAUUGGUCAUAAAUUUGAAGAUAUAAGAACCAAACAUGACUUGUAAAGAAAAUGGAAGCUACAGACCGGAAAAACUCACACUUACUGUUGGAUAGUUUAAUUGUUCCCUAAUAGUAAUUCCACUUUGCAAUGCCUUAAAAAACUUUAAUUGUUGCACAUCAAUUUUCGUCUUCUUCUUUUUUCACACGAAGCAGGGGUUGAAUCAGUCGUCGUGGUCACCAAUCUUUCUUCAGUUCAAGAGUUACGCCAGUAGCGAAAUUGGACUCCAAAUCAUUUAAACAAAACUUAUAAGAACUGAGCUCAGAGAAGAAAAUCAAUAACCCAAAAUCCAUAUUUAAUGAAACUAAACGGUAAAGGAAGAAAAUGAAGGGGGAAUAAACAGCUCUCGCUUAGAGCUAGUAAGGUGCAUUUCCAAAGAAAGAACAACAUUACCUCAAGCAAAAACUUUUCAUCCUUGUAGGGAAAAACCGAGGCUUGAAGUAUCACCUAAAUAUCAUAAUUUGACACAUACCAAUGGUCAGAAAAAAGGAUUUUGAUACUUCAACGUUCUCUAGAACAGAUUAAUUUUGCAGUAAUUAGUUUGUACCAAAAGAGAACACUGACAAAAUGCCAUGAGAGGAUUUUGGUCAGUAAUUUUCUCAUGCAAACGUCAUUAGAGAAAUAAUCAGAAGAGACAUCAAAUAACAAUUGACCCAAAUACUGUCACAUAUGUAAGAAUCUAGCAAAAUUUUAGCCACAGAUAAUUUAAGUAAGAAAAGAUUACUUGGAGAAAAAACUUACCACAACAGAGAGCUAAAUUUGAGACAAAUUAGACGAAAUAAACAAAAUCUUAAUCUACAAAUUGAAUAAACUUUGAACAGAAUCCAGUAUUCCCUAAUCUAGUGAUGGAAACUUGGAUAUAUGAGAAAAGAAGGUGAAUUUGGGUAAAAGAGUGGGACUUGUAGUGAGGGACACGUGUUUGGUUUUCAG